Molecule: long non-coding RNA, 1899 nt
Filed under: Oryzias sinensis (Chinese medaka)
Lineage: Eukaryota; Metazoa; Chordata; Actinopteri; Beloniformes; Adrianichthyidae
Description: lncRNA (ENSOSIG00000012640.1)
Source: RNAcentral
AUGGGAUCAGGGAACCGGACAGAGCGGCUGGCCAUGACGAGGAAUGUUAAAGCAUGUGAGGCCAAAUGUGGCUCAUCUGCAGAGCUGAGCGAGCGCCUGCAGACGUGCAGCUCUAAAGUGCGAACAGGUCAGGGCAGCUUAACAGGUAGCAGGAGAGAAUUCCACACGCCAGCUCCAGUUUGCUGAAAAUUUGGUGGGAAAAAAACACAAUUUCUACUCCAAAAUACUUUUUUGGUGUUGAUUUGAUCUCAGUUUACUUUUUUGGUGUUGAUUUGAUCUCAGUUUCCAAUUCAGUCAAUAAAAAGGAAGAUAGCAAAAAUGAAACAGCAUUUAAGAGCAAUGAUCUUUGCAAUUCAUAAGGCAUGAAUAUGGUAAAAAAUACAUUUUUAGAUGAAAAUCUUACAAAAAGUAUGAAGUAUAAAUCCAUUAAAUGUCUAAAGUAUUGCACCAUUGUCUCUUUUUAUGCUCAGAUGUUGUUUCAGUAGAACGAAGAAAAGCUCCUGGAAAUAAAUGAGGACUGCAGAGCGCCGCUCUCCUCUGCUGUAAACAUGCCCUCAGGUUGUCAGCAAGCUAUUUUCCAGCCGCUUGCUGUCCAAGCAUAGCUGCCUCCAAAGAUCAUCUGCUAGAAUUUGCUGAACUCAUCAUUUAAGCAUUUUAAAGAGCAAUUACUCCCAUGUAGUUUGAAAACCUUCCUUAUCUGCACUUUUUUCCCCAGUUUUAAAUGCUAACAGGGAUUAGCAAUUUUUUUGGCAUCUUUAAAUGCUAACAAUGGUUAGCAAAACUAUUUUAUGUCUACUUUUAAUAAUAAAAAGGCUUAGCGAAAAACAUGUUUGGCAGCUUUAAAUGCUAAGGGAGUUAGCAAAAUUUUUUUGUCUGCUUUAAAAAUGAAGAGGCAUUAGGCAAAAGACAGUUGGGCAACUUUAAAAGCUAACACUGGUUUGUAAAAAACAAAAAAACAAAAAAAAAACAAUCGCAGCUUUAAAUGCUAACAGGCAUUACUCAAUUUUUUAGGAACUUUAAAUGCUAACAGGUGUUAGCCAAAAGUUUUUUGGGGGCUAUCAUUGUUAAAAGGUGUUAGCAAAAACGUUUGUGGUCCCAAAUGUUAACGGGGUUAGCAAAAAGAAUUCGGCAGCUAUCAUUGUUAAAAGGUGUUAGCAAAAUGUUUGUGGUCCCAAAUGUUAACGGGGUUAGCAAAACGAAUUCGGCAGCUAUCAUUGUUUGAAGGUGUUAGCAAAAAUGUUUGUGGUCCCAAAUGUUAACAGGGUUAGCCAAAAAGAUUUUGGCAGCUUUUAAUGUUAACAAGGGUUGCGAAAAUUUUUGGAAGUUAAAUGGUAACAGUGAUUACCAAAACUGCGUUGAGUGAAUUCUUGUGGAAAGGGGGCAAAUGGUCUCUGAUUUCCAAAAUGCUGCUGGGGUUUAAUACAAGUGAAAGAUGAGGAGUGGUGGAAACUGUAUCUAGCAGUUCAUGCCACAGUGCUAGGAUCUUGUUUCGGAGGAGAGGAGAGCCUGUCUUUUGCCAAAAGGGGCACAUUAAAAACCUCUACAGCCUGUCUCACACAGACCACCAUUUAUUGACAUGGUUGUAAAAGGCCAAUGCUCAAUUAGUCCUGUGAUGUGACAAAGGCGAGAGCAAGUGCAUCUGGUCCCACCUGGAUAGUUUGGCUCACAAAAGCUAAAAAAAAAAAGGUAUUUUCCGGCCAACAAUGCGAAAGUCAUUGUCUGCAUUUAUAUCAUUUCUUUCCAUCCUCUUAUAAGUCCUGCUUUUUAUCGAUGCCUUCAGAUUCCCAUGGGGCAUGUCUCAACAUGCAAGGAAUGGCGGGCUGAGGCAUUCUGGACCUUAGGAAUGUGGCUCGGUGAGGCUAGGGGUCACAGUCAGACCACUCAUCGCUGCACUUUUCU